UACAGAGGGGGCAAGCGUUGUUCGGAAUUACUGGGCGUAAAGGGCGCGUAGGCGGCCUGUUAAGUCGAACGUGAAAUCCCCAGGCUCAACCUGGGAACUGCGUCCGAUACUGGCAGGCUUGAAUCCGGGAGAGGGAUGCGGAAUUCCAGGUGUAGCGGUGAAAUGCGUAGAUAUCAGGAAGAACACCCGUGGCGAAGGCGGCUCUCUGGGACGGUACUGACGCUGAGACGCGAAAGCGUGGGGAGCAAACAGG
Molecule: ribosomal RNA, 253 nt
Filed under: uncultured bacterium
Lineage: Bacteria
Description: partial 16S ribosomal RNA
Rfam family: Bacterial small subunit ribosomal RNA
Source: RNAcentral